This 492-nucleotide ribosomal RNA is filed under the name uncultured bacterium. Its description in RNAcentral is "partial 16S ribosomal RNA". It matches the Rfam family "Bacterial small subunit ribosomal RNA", at positions 29 to 507 of the family's 1533-position model. The record is from RNAcentral.
AGUGAACGCUGGCGGUAGGCCUAACACAUGCCAGUCGAACGGCAGCACAGUAAGAGCUUGCUCUUACGGGUGGCGAGUGGCGGACGGGUGAGGAAUACAUCGGAAUCUACUUUUUCGUGGGGGAUAACGUAGGGAAACUUACGCUAAUACCGCAUACGACCUACGGGUGAAAGCAGGGGAUCUUCGGACCUUGCGCGAUUGAAUGAGCCGAUGUCGGAUUAGCUAGUUUGCGGGGUAAAGGCCCACCAAGGCGACGAUCCGUAGCUGGUCUGAGAGGAUGAUCAGCCACACUGGAACUGAGACACGGUCCAGACUCCUACGGGAGGCAGCAGUGGGGAAUAUUGGACAAUGGGCGCAAGCCUGAUCCAGCCAUACCGCGUGGGUGAAGAAGGCCUUCGGGUUGUAAAGCCCUUUUGUUGGGAAAGAAAAGCAGCAGGUUAAUACCCCGCUGUUCUGACGGUACCCAAAGAAUAAGCACCGGCUAACUUCGUG